GGUGGGGUAGCUCAGUGGUAGAGUGCAUGCUUGACAUGUACAAGGUCCUGGGUUCAAUCCCCAGUGCCUCCA
This 72-nucleotide transfer RNA is filed under the name Camelus bactrianus (Bactrian camel). It matches the Rfam family "tRNA". From Rfam's summary of the family: Transfer RNA (tRNA) molecules are approximately 80 nucleotides in length. Their secondary structure includes four short double-helical elements and three loops (D, anti-codon, and T loops). Further hydrogen bonds mediate the characteristic L-shaped molecular structure. tRNAs have two regions of fundamental functional importance: the anti-codon, which is responsible for specific mRNA codon recognition, and the 3' end, to which the tRNAs corresponding amino acid is attached (by aminoacyl-tRNA synthetases). tRNAs cope with the degeneracy of the genetic code in two manners: having more than one tRNA (with a specific anti-codon) for a particular amino acid; and 'wobble' base-pairing, i.e. permitting non-standard base-pairing at the 3rd anti-codon position. Lineage: Eukaryota; Metazoa; Chordata; Mammalia; Artiodactyla; Camelidae. The record is from Rfam by way of RNAcentral. RNAcentral also lists the same sequence under 2 other names.